This is a long non-coding RNA of Cavia porcellus (domestic guinea pig), 1194 nucleotides long. RefSeq lists it as uncharacterized. The record is from RefSeq and is a predicted model, not a curated record. The transcript has 3 exons. NCBI's taxonomy places the organism in Eukaryota, Metazoa, Chordata, Mammalia, Rodentia, Caviidae.
CAAGUUUUCAGGGUUACGGGAGAUAUGAGUGUUUCUUGUUGCCAUGGUUUGCAUAAUAUAAUAUACAUUCCUGACCCGCUGGAAUCCUCCUGUCCUGAGCAGCAGCUGCGUGGAGCUGCAGAAGGAACAUGUGCCAGCAACCAGGCCAGGCACAAUGAAAAGAGGCCAAGAGUGAAGAGAAGCACACGGUGAUUAACUUUCCAAGCAAAAAGAUGCUUGGAAUGUGUUCAGGGUCUACAUCUUUCUGCAGAAGAAGGCUGACCCCACAAACAAGGGAAGCCUGGACUAGCCAGACCACAGUGUUCCCCAUGGUGUAGAGAAGACCGUUGAUCCUCAGCAGCAAAACAUGAAGGUUCUGCUGAUGCAGGGCAUGCACAGGAAAAAAGGAAGUAAAAUAGCAGCUUAUUCUUUCUGUCUUGGAAGAGGGCUGAGCACUUGAUUCAGUGGACUGAGGAAAGAAGACUGCGCUUGCCAUGUGGGGAGGCAUCAGUCACUCCACUGAGGCCGAAGUAGAGCACCAAGCUGGAAAACAGGCCUCUAUCUCACGGAGCUAGGACAUCCAACUUCCGACUUUGGACACCUGGGCCUCUCGCUAUUGGCCCUUCACACUCCAGGAAUUACCCUAGAAACCCCUUGAUCCUCGUGUCUUUGGCCUUGGACUGGGAAUAAUGACUGCUGGUUCCAUAGGACUUGGACUCAUAUGAAGGGCUUUGCAGGUUCUCUCCAGCUUUCAGGCAGUACAUCAUUGGACCUUUCGUCUGUAUCAUCAUAUGAAUCAAUUCCCAUAAAUUUCCUCUUAAAUAUCUAUUUAAAAUUGUCUCAACCUAUAAUGGAGUUACAUCUCAAUGAACAUAUUUUAAGUUGAAAAUAUGUAAAAAAUGAACUUAAUACAGCUAACUUACCAAACAUCAUAGCUUAGCUAGUCUAUCUUAAUUAUGCUCAAAACAUUUACAUUGCCCCAUGAUUGGGAAAAUUACCUAAUACAAGUCUAUUUUAUAAUAAAGUAUUGAAUAUCUCAUGUGAUUUAUUGCACAUGACACUGAAAGUGAAAAACUGGUUGUAUGUAUAUCUUUUGCUCUGUUGUAAAGCUGAAAAAAAUCCAGUGUUGAACCAUCACAAGCUACAAGUGAGGGACUGUCUGUAUCAGUUCUAUUUCUCUGGAGAAUCUUGAUUAAUAAAAGGGCUUAGAGACCA